Molecule: long non-coding RNA, 2021 nt
Organism: Patella vulgata (common limpet)
Lineage: Eukaryota; Metazoa; Mollusca; Gastropoda; Patellidae
Exons: 6
Source: RefSeq, a predicted model, not a curated record
CACGAUGUCCGGCAACAGUAAUCCAAGAUGGUGAUACAUACCAACCAGGCUUAAAGAACUAUCUUCACCCAGCAGAACCCGGUAUACACACGGCUACCAAGAUAAAAGUUACAGCAAAGCAUGAAGCCAAAGGAAAUGUUUUUACCAAGUCAUGUUCCUCAAUAGCGGAGAGAGUUUUAUCCAGUGUCGGUUCUGCAGAAGAACCCAUUCAUAGCAGACCACCCAUGGCAGCACUUGUAAGGUUGCUACAAAGAACCCGACAGACUCUGCGACCAAAAGAUCCCACUGACGUGUCGUCAAGCCUUGACGAAGAUUUCAUCGAUCAUAGUGCACCGGGAUUUUAUCAAAAAAGAGUAAAAGUUGGGGAAAGGCGCCAUCACAUUUUUUGUACUGAUAGACAGAUGCAACUACUCGCACGCGCAAAAACUUGGUAAAUGGAUGCAACUUUUCGGGUGGUGAACAAGCCAUGGUCUCAGCUGUUUUCCAUCCACGCCUUCAUUAAGACUGGAGAGACCACCCGACAGUUACCAUUGGUGUUUUGUGUAAUGUAGGGUAAAAGCCAAGACGACUAUUAUAAGUCAAUGAUGAUAUGUGACUCUUUCCACCUUCCAGCAAUAAUUAUUGAGAAUUUACCAAGGACUCCAUUGGCAUUGAAUCGAAGAAAAACAGUUUCAAUAUUGAAUGUUUAUGCAAAUCACCCAGAAAAAGAUCAUGUAAUAACAAAAGAAAUUAUAAAAGAAAAAAAUGGAAGAAGAAAUGGCUGGAAAAAAUGAUGAUAGAGCAGCUUUUUCUUGUUACCCACCUCGGAAGAUCAAGUUGGAAAGGGCUAUUGAUAUUGUGGAGACGUUUUCUCACAGAUCUUGCUUAUCAGACAAAGACUAUGUAAGUACCAUGCAUAUUUGCUUUUUAAAUCAGGAACUGGUUUUAUACACUUGGUGGGGGGGUUGGAUGGACGUUAAACCCCAUUUCUCUCUCUCUCUCCUAAAUAUUGAGAUUUUUGUUUACUUUUAAACUGCAUAUAUUCAAGGUAUCAGGAGCUUUUUAUGGCUCCCGUACAAUUUUAUAAACAUGAAGGACUGUACCUUUUGAAUAUUAAGCCAUCAAAUUAUUUUAUAAUUUUGAAAAUGAAAUGAAAUGGGGUUUAACAUCCUACUGUUUUGCUCAUAAAUUGGGCUAAUGAGGACGGGCAUACGCCAUACAGUGUGCUAUGAAGGGAAUUUUGCCCGGGCAGCGGCGCUACAGCCUACUCUUAUAUCGAAUUCCAAUUGCCAAGGAAUCUUUUACGUGCACGCCAAUGUGUACACGGGGCCUCGGUUUUUCGUCCCAUCCGAACGACUAGACAGCUGUCCUUGUCAGGUCCUCCGUCCUGUAUCACUGACAAGGGGAAAACACGCAAAAUGUAAGUAACAUAUAUAUUUGUAUUUUUAAUCAGGAAGUACUUCUAUACACUUGCUUGGUAAUCUAGUUAUUCUUCUUGGGGCAAUGCAUAGGACUCUGCUGUUUCAAGUACUUGGCAUGCUUGAUUUUUGCCAAUCACAUCCAUUGAUUUCCUUCAAGUUGCGAUAGGCCCUACAUGUAUGUGUAUUUUUACAGUAAAUAGCAGUAAAAUAAUGAUGGACAGUAUUUUACUUUCAAAUAGAUUUCAAUAGAUUUUAAAGGUAAUAUCCAAUUUGUUGUCAAUGGAAAUAAAAUAAGAAUGGGUCCAAAAAUAAUUAGACAUUGCCAAGUAAAUAGGUGCUGCCAUGAUGGAGUAGGGAAUCUGGAUUUGCAGACAAUACAUGUAUGAAAGGGUGAAUAGUUGACCUAUUAUGAGACUUCAGUCCCAAAUCUCAAGACUUUUUUCUGACUUCUAACUCAUUUGAUUUGAGCAUAAUAAUCUGCCUGGGUCUGUAACUGGACAAGACACAAUAAGCGUUACGCAAAGUUGAAACCAAAUAGAGACUCGGUCUCGAUGUGGCAAAAUAAAUUGUUUAUUUAAACGUUGUGAACCAUAGAAAGUAUUCUUAUCUCCUACUUUUUAU